Long non-coding RNA from Coffea arabica (coffee), 1150 nucleotides. RefSeq lists it as uncharacterized. The record is from RefSeq and is a predicted model, not a curated record. NCBI's taxonomy places the organism in Eukaryota, Viridiplantae, Streptophyta, Magnoliopsida, Gentianales, Rubiaceae.
UUAAACUAUUGGCGAGAUCAUGUUUUGGCCAUCGAACUAUUUUUUGUCAAUAAUUGGCCACUAAACAAUUUAAUCCGUUAAUUCGUGACCAUUUCGUCGUUAAUUGCUCUUAAGUUCUGAAAUUAGCAUUACACGUCGUGACCAUUUCGUCGUUAAUUGCUCUUAAGUUCUGAAAUUAGCAUUACACGUGACAAUGUCCGGGCAAUUUUGUCCAGCAAUUUACUGACCCUAAAAGUCCAAUACGGCUAAUUUCAGAAAUGUAGAGGAGUUGAUGGACCUUCAGCAUCUUCCACCGAGUCGCCAGCCAAACCCCAAGUCGCAUCCCUCAGCGUUCCUCGCACCGCUGCCAGAGGAACCGCCACCACCCGCCGGAAGGCCACCGUGACGGUCCAAGAAGAUGAAUCCGAAACUACUUCACACCCUUCCACCAGGACUCGCCGUUCAACCAGAGGACUGCCGGUUGCUGCAGCCGGAGGAGACGUCCCCAAACUCCGCUCCCGCCUAAGCAAAUGAAAGAUACGCUUGCCUGCUUGCUUCGAAGAAAAGUUGAUAUCUAAUGCUUUCAAGCUGCAAAAGGUGAAGCAUCGAAGCAAAGCAAACCAAACUGCCCCAAAAUUCCCUAAAAAAGAUUCUUGCCACUUAUAACUAAUCUGAUGUACAUGAGAUAUUUGAUAUAUUGUUUGGGAGGGUGUCCUGAAAUAUUGGAGAUUUAAUUUUGAGAAGGGAGCCCAAGCUCAAGAGUUCAAGACUCCGACUUUCUCUAUUUCUCUCCCAUACGGCACUAGCUGUUGCCUGGAACUAGAAGAUAUGGGCACUUUGAGUACCAGUCCUCUGCUUCUAAAAGACCCAAGGCCUUCUUCACUCUACAGAGAACACCGAAGCUCUGUUCUUGUGUACACAACAAGAAGAAGAAAAUCCAAGAAAAGCCAAUCCUUGAACCCUGUUGCCAGGUUAUUUGGACCUGCUAUUUUUGAAGCAUAGAAGUUGCAGGUUGUUUUCUUAGGAGUUGACGAGGAGAAGCACCCAGGACAGCUACCUAGAGCCUAUACAUUUACGCAUAGUGAUGUAACCUCAAAGCUCACCGGACAAAAUUGCCCCCAACAUUGCCACGUGUAAUGCUAAUUUCAAAACUUAAGAGCAAUUAACGACG